ACGCUGCAGAAAGGGUUUGGAUGCGUGACGCGUUUGAAGGACAAGCAUCGACAGCAAUAUCGGGUAGUUCAAUAGACUGACGAGGCUUGCCAAACUUCUUUAAAUAAUCAGAGAUGAGAUUAGAAGCGUUUUCAACAGAUUCACUGGAUCGUGUAAAGAAUGAAGGCAAUAUACAGACUAAGAUUUUAUUGUCUACAAAUUGGUAAGAGCCCAAAAGAGCGACAGGUACACCAUCAGAAAGAGCAAAGAAAAUGAAUGAUUUAAAUACCAUCACUUGCUCAUCUGAUAUAACUAAACCCCCUUCCUUUGUAUUUUGGUUGCUAU
Non-coding RNA from Schizosaccharomyces pombe (fission yeast), 324 nucleotides. The record is from the annotation of a GenBank genome assembly. NCBI's taxonomy places the organism in Eukaryota, Fungi, Ascomycota, Schizosaccharomycetes, Schizosaccharomycetales, Schizosaccharomycetaceae.